This 351-nucleotide ribosomal RNA is filed under the name uncultured soil bacterium. RNAcentral's name for it is "bacterial SSU rRNA". It matches the Rfam family "Bacterial small subunit ribosomal RNA", at positions 26 to 372 of the family's 1533-position model. The record is from RNAcentral.
AGAUUGAACGCUGGCGGCAGGCCUAACACAUGCAAGUCGAGCGGUAGAGAGGUGCUUGCAUCCCUUGAGAGCGGCGGACGGGUGAGUAAUGCCUAGGAAUCUGCCUAGUGGUGGGGGAUAACGUUCGGAAACGGACGCUAAUACCGCAUACGUCCUACGGGAGAAAGCGGGGGACCUUCGGGCCUCGCGCCAUUAGAUGAGCCUAGGUCGGAUUAGCUAGUUGGUGAGGUAAUGGCUCACCAAGGCGACGAUCCGUAACUGGUCUGAGAGGAUGAUCAGUCACACUGGAACUGAGACACGGUCCCAGACUCCGUACGGGGAGCAGCGAAGGUGGGGGAAAUAGUUAGGAAC